GAGACACCCUUCUGGGGCAAGACUUGCUUCAGAGCGGUUGUUGUGCUCACUGAGUCUGCCCCCUGAGUGUGUCCCU
RNAcentral lists this microRNA precursor (76 nucleotides) under Myotis davidii. RNAcentral describes it as "mir-9229 microRNA precursor family". It matches the Rfam family "mir-9229 microRNA precursor family". Lineage: Eukaryota; Metazoa; Chordata; Mammalia; Chiroptera; Vespertilionidae. The record is from Rfam by way of RNAcentral.